AGGCGUAGGCGAUGGACAACAGGUUGAUAUUCCUGUACCACCUCUUUAUCGUUUGAGCAAUGGAGGGACGCAGAAGGAUAGAAGAAGCGUGCGAUUGGUUGUGCACGUCCAAGCAGUUAGGCUGAUAAGUAGGCAAAUCCGCUUAUCGUGAAGGCUGAGCUGUGAUGGGGAAGCUCCUUAUGGAGCGAAGUCUUUGAUUCCCCGCUGCCAAGAAAAGCUUCUAGCGAGAUAAAAGGUGCCUGUACCGCAAACCGACACAGGUAGGCGAGGAGAGAAUCCUAAGGUGUGCGAGAGAACUCUGGUUAAGGAACUCGGCAAAAUGACCCCGUAACUUCGGGAGAAGGGGUGCUUUCUUAACGGAAAGCCGCAGUGAAUAGGCCCAAGCGACUGUUUAGCAAAAACACAGGUCUCUGCGAAGCCGUAAGGCGAAGUAUAGGGGCUGACACCUGCCCGGUGCUGGAAGGUUAAGGAGAGGGGUUAGCGUAAGCGAAGCUCUGAACUGAAGCCCCAGUAAACGGCGGCCGUAACUAUAACGGUCCUAAGGUAGCGAAAUUCCUUGUCGGGUAAGUUCCGACCCGCACGAAAGGUGUAACGAUUUGGGCACUGUCUCAACCAGAGACUCGGUGAAAUUAUAGUACCUGUGAAGAUGCAGGUUACCCGCGACAGGACGGAAAGACCCCGUGGAGCUUUACUGUAGCCUGAUAUUGAAUUUUGGUACAGUUUGUACAGGAUAGGCGGGAGCCAUUGAAACCGGAGCGCUAGCUUCGGUGGAGGCGCUGGUGGGAUACCGCCCUGACUGUAUUGAAAUUCUAACCUACGGGUCUUAUCGACCCGGGAGACAGUGUCAGGUGGGCAGUUUGACUGGGGCGGUCGCCUCCUAAAGUGUAACGGAGGCGCCCAAAGGUUCCCUCAGAAUGGUUGGAAAUCAUUCGUAGAGUGCAAAGGCAUAAGGGAGCUUGACUGCGAGACCUACAAGUCGAGCAGGGACGAAAGUCGGGCUUAGUGAUCCGGUGGUUCCGCAUGGAAGGGCCAUCGCUCAACGGAUAAAAGCUACCCCGGGGAUAACAGGCUUAUCUCCCCCAAGAGUCCACAUCGACGGGGAGGUUUGGCACCUCGAUGUCGGCUCAUCGCAUCCUGGGGCUGUAGUCGGUCCCAAGGGUUGGGCUGUUCGCCCAUUAAAGCGGUACGCGAGCUGGGUUCAGAACGUCGUGAGACAGUUCGGUCCCUAUCCGUCGUGGGCGUAGGAAAUUUGAGAGGAGCUGUCCUUAGUACGAGAGGACCGGGAUGGACGCACCGCUGGUGUACCAGUUGUUCUGCCAAGGGCAUAGCUGGGUAGCUAUGUGCGGAAGGGAUAAGUGCUGAAAGCAUCUAAGCAUGAAGCCCCCCUCAAGAUGAGAUUUCCCAUAGCGUAAGCUAGUAAGAUCCCUGAAAGAUGAUCAGGUUGAUAGGUUCGAGGUGGAAGCAUGGUGACAUGUGGAGCUGACGAAUACUAAUAGAUCGAGGACUUAACCAUAUAA
Molecule: ribosomal RNA, 1517 nt
Filed under: Bacillus sp. CH126_4D
Lineage: Bacteria; Bacillati; Bacillota; Bacilli; Caryophanales; Bacillaceae
Description: partial 23S ribosomal RNA
Rfam family: Bacterial large subunit ribosomal RNA
Source: RNAcentral